Molecule: ribosomal RNA, 300 nt
Filed under: uncultured Olsenella sp.
Lineage: Bacteria; Bacillati; Actinomycetota; Coriobacteriia; Coriobacteriales; Atopobiaceae
Description: bacterial SSU rRNA
Rfam family: Bacterial small subunit ribosomal RNA
Source: RNAcentral
GCUGACUUCGUGCGAGCAUGCGCGGGGAUGCGUAGUUGGCGAUGGUUGUCCGGAGUUACGUGGCGUAAAGUAUGCGUAGUGUGAAACGUAAGUGGGAUGUUAAAUCCCCUGGCUCAACCCGGGAACUGCAUUCCAAACUGGGUAUCGGGAGGGCAGGAGAGGAAAGCGGAAUUCCUAGUGUAGCGGUGAAAUGCGUAGAUAUUAGGAAGAACACCGGUGGCGAAGGCGGCUUUCUGGACUGUAACUGACACUGAGGCAUGAAAGCGUGGGGAGCAAACAGGAUUAGAUACCCGGUUAGUC